RNAcentral lists this ribosomal RNA (492 nucleotides) under uncultured bacterium. RNAcentral's name for it is "partial 16S ribosomal RNA". It matches the Rfam family "Bacterial small subunit ribosomal RNA", at positions 29 to 507 of the family's 1533-position model. The record is from RNAcentral.
AGUAAACGCUGGCGGUAGGCCUAACACAUGCAAGUCGAACGACAACACAGUAAGAUCCUGCCUCUACGGGUGGCGACUGGCGGACGGGUGAUGAAUACAUCGCAAUCUACUGAGUCGGGGGAGAUCACGUAGGGAAACUCAUGCUAACACCGCAUACUUUCUACCGUCUAAAGCAUCAGAACGUCGGACCUUGCGUGAUUGUAUUUGCUUACGUCGGAUUAUCUAGUUGGCGGGGUAAAGGCACACCAAUGCCACGAUCCGUAGCUGGUCUGAGAGGGUGAUCAGCCACACUGGAACUGAGACACGGUCCAGACUCCUACGGGAGGCAGCAGUGGGGAAUAUUGGACAAUGGGCGAAAGCCUGAUCCAGCCAUACCGCGUGGGUGAAGAAGGCCUUCGGGUUGUAAAGCCCUUUUGUUGGGAAAGAAAAGCAGCAGGUUAAUACCCCGCUGUUCUGACGGUACCCAAAGAAUAAGCACCGGCUAACUUCGUG